This 132-nucleotide unclassified non-coding RNA is filed under the name Thermococcus thioreducens. Its description in RNAcentral is "HgcC family RNA". It matches the Rfam family "HgcC family RNA". Rfam says of the family: The HgcC ncRNA gene was identified computationally in AT-rich hyperthermophiles. Lineage: Archaea; Methanobacteriati; Methanobacteriota; Thermococci; Thermococcales; Thermococcaceae. The record is from RNAcentral.
GAGGGGUCGAAGACCCAAUUUGUUUUGGGUCUAAAUGAGACCCCUCAAACCUCCCUGCCUUUAGGGUAAGGGGGGUUCCUCGUUGGAACCCUCGUCCUUCAGGGCGGGGAGGAGGUCAGCGCUCUCCUCAUC